UACAGAGGUCUCAAGCGUUGUUCGGAUUCAUUGGGCGUAAAGGGUGCGUAGGCGGCGCGGUAAGUCGGGUGUGAAAUCUCGGAGCUUAACUCCGAAACUGCAUUCGAUACUGCCGUGCUUGAGGACUGGAGAGGAGACUGGAAUUUACGGUGUAGCGGUGAAAUGCGUAGAUAUCGAGAGGAACACCAGUGGCGAAGGCGGCUCACUGGGCUCUACCUGACGCUGAGGCGCGAAAGCGUGGGGAGCGAACCGG
Molecule: ribosomal RNA, 253 nt
Filed under: uncultured bacterium
Lineage: Bacteria
Description: partial 16S ribosomal RNA
Rfam family: Bacterial small subunit ribosomal RNA
Source: RNAcentral